This 71-nucleotide transfer RNA is filed under the name Marmota monax (woodchuck). Its description in RNAcentral is "tRNA.Ala". It matches the Rfam family "tRNA". Rfam says of the family: Transfer RNA (tRNA) molecules are approximately 80 nucleotides in length. Lineage: Eukaryota; Metazoa; Chordata; Mammalia; Rodentia; Sciuridae. The record is from RNAcentral.
GGGGUUGUGGCUCAGCGGUAGAGCACUCACCUAGCUCGUGUGAGGCCCUGGGUUCAAUCCUCAGCACCACA